CAAGUAAUAUAAGAUUUGGUGAAAGCAAGAUAUCUUUAAAAAUUCUCUAACCUUUCGUUCUUCCAUCUAAAGGUGAAGUUGAGGGAAGAAACCUAACUCCUUGAGUCAAUGCUGAUGAUGAAGAUCAGAAGCUUAACAUGUGAAAACAUGCAUGGCCUGAUGCUAUCAAAGAUGCUCUGAUGGCUUCCUUGUAUGAGAUUUACAAUAAAAUCUCCACAUGCUAGCUGUUAGAUCUCAAUCAAGUUACAGAUUGAAGAAAAACAAGAUAUUUUGAAUGCAAUUCGGGAUACAUGGAACCUCACAUGUCUCAAGUAUUUGUUGUGGAAGAUAAUGGAUAGGUCGAUUGAUUUGCCUCUAAUGUUAUCUAUGUACAAUGUUCCACAAUAUGUGUUUUGUCAUACAAGACUCUCAAAUGAUUAAUGAUGUCUUUUGUUGUACAUGACCCUCUUAAUGAUUAAAGAUGCUCUUUCAUUUA
Long non-coding RNA from Vigna angularis (adzuki bean), 475 nucleotides. RefSeq lists it as uncharacterized. The transcript has 2 exons. The record is from RefSeq and is a predicted model, not a curated record. NCBI's taxonomy places the organism in Eukaryota, Viridiplantae, Streptophyta, Magnoliopsida, Fabales, Fabaceae.